RNAcentral lists this transfer RNA (75 nucleotides) under Mycoplasmataceae bacterium. Its description in RNAcentral is "tRNA-Arg". It matches the Rfam family "tRNA". Rfam says of the family: Transfer RNA (tRNA) molecules are approximately 80 nucleotides in length. Their secondary structure includes four short double-helical elements and three loops (D, anti-codon, and T loops). Lineage: Bacteria; Bacillati; Mycoplasmatota; Mollicutes; Mycoplasmatales; Mycoplasmataceae. The record is from RNAcentral.
GCGCUCUUAGCUCAGUUGAAUAGAGCGUCUGACUUCGAAUUAGAAGACUAGAGGGUUUGGCUCCCUUGGAGCGCG